UAACUAGGAAUUCCUAGUAAGCGCGAGUCAUCAACUCGUGCUGAUUACGUCCCUGCAAAAUGUACACACCGCCCGUCGCUUUUACCGAUUGAGUGCUCAGGUGAAUCUUCUUGAUAGUGAAAACUAAAUAUUAAAUAAACCUUAGCACUUAGAGGAAAAAGAAGUCGUAACAAGGUUUCCGUAGGUGAACCUGCGGAAGGAUC
RNAcentral lists this ribosomal RNA (203 nucleotides) under Apocarchesium rosettum. RNAcentral describes it as "partial 18S ribosomal RNA". It matches the Rfam family "Eukaryotic small subunit ribosomal RNA", at positions 1601 to 1827 of the family's 1831-position model. Lineage: Eukaryota; Ciliophora; Oligohymenophorea; Sessilida; Vorticellidae. The record is from RNAcentral.